RNAcentral lists this ribosomal RNA (253 nucleotides) under uncultured bacterium. RNAcentral's name for it is "partial 16S ribosomal RNA". It matches the Rfam family "Bacterial small subunit ribosomal RNA", at positions 524 to 776 of the family's 1533-position model. The record is from RNAcentral.
UACAGAGGUCCCAAGCGUUGUCCGGAUUCACUGGGCGUAAAGGGUGCGUAGGCGGUCGGGUAAGUCUGAUGUGAAAUCUCACAGCUUAACUGUGAAACUGCAUUGGAUACUAUCCGGCUCGAGGAAUGGAGGGGAGACUGGAAUGCUUGGUGUAGCAGUGAAAUGCGUAGAUAUCAAGUGGAACACCAGUGGCGAAGGCGAGUCUCUGGACAUUUCCUGACGCUGAGGCACGAAAGCCAGGGGAGCAAACGGG